This 480-nucleotide ribosomal RNA is filed under the name uncultured bacterium. Its description in RNAcentral is "partial 16S ribosomal RNA". It matches the Rfam family "Bacterial small subunit ribosomal RNA", at positions 28 to 523 of the family's 1533-position model. The record is from RNAcentral.
GACGAACGCUGGCGGCGUGCCUAACACAUUCAAGUCGAGCGAGUGAAUCUCCUUCGGGAGUGAAGCUAGCGGCGGACGGGUGAGUAACACGUGGGCAACCUGCCUCAUAGAGGGGAAUAGCCUUUCGACAGGAAGAUUAAUACCGCAUAAGAUUGUAGCUUCGCAUGAAGUAGCAAUUAAAGGAGCAAUCCGCUAUGAGAUGGGCCCGCGGCGCAUUAGCUAGUUGGUGAGGUAACGGCUCACCAAGGCGACGAUGCGUAGCCGACCUGAGAGGGUGAUCGGCCACAUUGGGACUGAGACACGGCCCAGACUCCUACGGGAGGCAGCAGUGGGGAAUAUUGCACAAUGGGGGAAACCCUGAUGCAGCGACGCCGCGUGAGUGAAGAAGUAUUUCGGUAUGUAAAGCUCUAUCAGCAGGGACGAUAAUGACGGUACCUGACUAAGAAGCCCCGGCUAACUACGUGCCAGCAGCCGCAGUAA